This 607-nucleotide transfer RNA is filed under the name uncultured Synechococcus sp. RNAcentral's name for it is "16S-23S ribosomal RNA intergenic spacer". The stretch from base 259 to 331 matches the Rfam family "tRNA". The record is from RNAcentral. Lineage: Bacteria; Bacillati; Cyanobacteriota; Cyanophyceae; Synechococcales; Synechococcaceae.
CAGGGAGAACCAACCUCAAAUGAUGAUCACCACUUUUUAGUGAUCCAUUUGACUGUUCAUUCCUAAGGUCGAUCGGUACCUCAGUGAGUGAUAAUCACUCACCUCGGUCCUUAAGCUUGUCUAGGUCACCACCCCUUAGCUGAUAAGCUUUGUGGGAUGGGCCCGAGAGGGUUCCUGGGCCAUUAGCUCAGGUGGUUAGAGCGCACCCCUGAUAAGGGUGAGGUCCCUGGUUCAAGUCCAGGAUGGCCCAUCGGGAUUGGGGGUUUAGCUCAGCUGGUAGAGCGCCUGCUUUGCAAGCAGGAUGUCAGCGGUUCGAGUCCGCUAACCUCCGUUAGUCUUGAUAAUGGAACUGUGGCACAGGGUGACUUAGAAGGAUGUUGGUGAUUCCAGCCUCGUUUGAUUCUUGAUUCAAGCUCAAACGAUGCUGGGCUCAGCAAUGGGUUCAGCAAGAACCUUGACAACUGCAUAGGUAAGUCUGGAAAUAAAGCAUCUCACAGAGAUGAUUCAGACAUGAAGUGAAUCACGUUACGGCGUGAUUUAUUUGAUGUUUGUUUCAACAAUUCUGGAGAAAAGCCGAGUCCUGAAUCAAUUUGAUCAGGAACAAAAU